GUGUGAAACUCAAAGGAAUUGACGGGGGCCCGCACAAGCGGUGGAGUAUGUGGUUUAAUUCGACGCAACGCGAAGAACCUUACCAGGUCUUGACAUCCCCUGCAAAGCUAUGGAGACAUAGUGGAGGUUAUCAGGGAGACAGGUGGUGCAUGGUUGUCGUCAGCUUGUGUCGUGAGAUGUUGGGUUAAGUCCCGCAACGAGCGCAACCCUUGUCUUUAGUUACUAACAUUCAGUUGAGGACUCUAGAGAGACUGCCGGUGACAAACCGGAGGAAGGUGGGGAUGACGUCAAAUCAUCAUGCCCCUUAUGACCUGGGCUACACACGUACUACAAUGGCGGAUACAACGAGAAGCAAGACAGUGAUGUGGAGCAAAACUCAGAAAGUCCGUCUCAGUUCGGAUUGAAGUCUGCAACCCGACCUCAUGAAGCCGGAAUCGCUAGUAAUCGCGGAUCAGCAUGCCGCGGUGAAUACGUUCUCGGGCCUUGUACACACCGCCCGC
RNAcentral lists this ribosomal RNA (500 nucleotides) under uncultured bacterium. Its description in RNAcentral is "bacterial SSU rRNA". It matches the Rfam family "Bacterial small subunit ribosomal RNA", at positions 892 to 1397 of the family's 1533-position model. The record is from RNAcentral.